GACGAACGCUGGCGGCGUGCUUAACACAUGCGAGUCGAACGAAGAGCGAUGGAAGCUUGCUUCUAUCAAUCUUAGUGGCGAACGGGUGAGUAACGCGUAAUCAACCUGCCCUUCAGAGGGGGACAACAGUUGGAAACGACUGCUAAUACCGCAUACGAUCUAACCUCGGCAUCGAGGAUAGAUGAAAGGUGGCCUCUACAUGUAAGCUAUCACUGAAGGAGGGGAUUGCGUCUGAUUAGCUAGUUGGAGGGGUAACGGCCCACCAAGGCGAUGAUCAGUAGCCGGUCUGAGAGGAUGAACGGCCACAUUGGGACUGAGACACGGCCCAGACUCCUACGGGAGGCAGCAGUGGGGAAUCUUCCGCAAUGGACGAAAGUCUGACGGAGCAACGCCGCGUGAGUGAUGACGGCCUUCGGGUUGUAUAGCUCUGUUAAUCGGGACGAAAGGCCUUCUUGCGAAUAGUGAGAAGGAUUGACGGUACCGGAAUAGAAAGCCACGGCUAACUACGUG
This 510-nucleotide ribosomal RNA is filed under the name uncultured bacterium. RNAcentral's name for it is "partial 16S ribosomal RNA". It matches the Rfam family "Bacterial small subunit ribosomal RNA", at positions 28 to 507 of the family's 1533-position model. The record is from RNAcentral.